GAUGAACGCUGGCGGCGUGCUUAACACAUGCAAGUCGAACGGUGAAGGCGGAGCUUGCUCUGCUGGAUCAGUGGCGAACGGGUGAGUAACACGUGAGCAAUCUGCCCCUGACUCUGGGAUAAGCGCUGGAAACGGCGUCUAAUACUGGAUACGAGCUGCGAAGGCAUCUUCAGCAGCUGGAAAGAACUUCGGUCAGGAUUGAGCUCGCGGCCUAUCAGCUUGUUGGUGAGGUAACGGCUCACCAAGGCGUCGACGGGUAGCCGGCCUGAGAGGGUGACCGGCCACACUGGGACUGAGACACGGCCCAGACUCCUACGGGAGGCAGCAGUGGGGAAUAUUGCACAAUGGGCGAAAGCCUGAUGCAGCAACGCCGCGUGAGGGACGACGGCCUUCGGGUUGUAAACCUCUUUUAGCAGGGAAGAAGCGAAAGUGACGGUACCUGCAGAAAAAGCGCCGGCUAACUACGUG
RNAcentral lists this ribosomal RNA (468 nucleotides) under uncultured bacterium. RNAcentral's name for it is "partial 16S ribosomal RNA". It matches the Rfam family "Bacterial small subunit ribosomal RNA", at positions 28 to 507 of the family's 1533-position model. The record is from RNAcentral.